RNAcentral lists this ribosomal RNA (549 nucleotides) under Palythoa caesia. RNAcentral describes it as "partial 16S ribosomal RNA". RNAcentral also lists the same sequence under 1 other name. The record is from RNAcentral. Lineage: Eukaryota; Metazoa; Cnidaria; Anthozoa; Zoantharia; Sphenopidae.
CAUCGUCGUCGAUGUGAACUCUCUAACGAUAUUACGCUGUUAUCCCCGUGGUAACUUUUAUUCGUUGAUCGUUAACUAUUCCACUCUAAAUUAACGGGUCAUUAUGGCCCACCCCACCGCCGCCCUUCGGGCGGGCUUAGGGGUGUCUGCUCGGGGUGUCCCCCUCGCAGUCAGGCUUCAGUCAUUAAUUGCGCACCUUAAGCGCACCUUCGUUACUCUUUAAAAGGCGGUCGCCCCAACCAAACUGUCCUACUUACACUCUCCCCCCCAAGGGGGGGUUAGCCCCUUUGACAUGGGGGAGUGGGGUUUCAUCUGCCCCGGCGGGGGGCUGCCACAUAGUCUAAACCACCCAUUUAAAUUCGGCCGGUUCCCGGACACGGGAAGGCCGGGGCCGUGUAAGUGCCCCAGUAAAGCUCAACGGGGUCUUUUCGUCUAACAAAUUGGACGUAGCAUCUUCACUACGAAUUCAAUUUCACUGGGAAUUUCCUUAAGACAGUGGGGCCUUCGUGGCGCCAUUCAUACUGGCCAACAAUUAAUUGGCUAUUGAUU